CAAACUUUUCCACUUCCAAUUAUCUUGACCUAUUAUUUCCCAAACAAAAAAUAAUAAUAAUUAUCCACAAAAAAUAAAGCACAAAGUGUAAACUUCAAUGAAUCACAAAAAACAGUACAAAACGCAAUAAAAAAAAUUAUCACAAAAAAAAAAAAUAGUCACAUAAAAAAAAAAUUGGGGUUGCAACUGUUAGAUCCAAACACGAUCAGAAAAAAAAAUUACAAAAACAAAUCCCACAUAAUAAUAAGACUUUAACACUGAUACAUAAACAAAUUAAACUAUUAUUCACAUUUGAAAUUCCAAGUUUAACAAAUUUCAAACUCAGUACAACUAGUAUUCAAAAAUUACACAAAAAUAACGCAAAAACGAAACGAUCCAUAGUAGUAUUUGAUUACAAACAUAGCAAAAUCAAACACAAAAACGCCAAAUACUAUAGAAAAUCAGUAACAAUAACAACAAAUAAUUCAAUUCAAUGAACGGAUCAAUAACCAAAAAUCACAAAAAUGAAUAUAAAAACAGAAAAAUCAGUACUCACAACUUGAAAGAGAAAGUGAAUAGCUCUGAGUUUGAACUUAUCGGCGACGGUAACGGCGAGAUUCCGGUGAGGUGAAGUGGAGAAACGCGAAGUGAUGAGAGAGAGAGAGAGAGAGAGAGAGAGAGAUUUGAGUUACGGAGAAUGAAAGAACAAAAUAAGAACGGCAACUGCAACGAUUUUUGGUUUUAUUAUUAUUUAUAUUAUUAUUUAUUUGUUAG
Molecule: long non-coding RNA, 753 nt
Filed under: Trifolium pratense (red clover)
Lineage: Eukaryota; Viridiplantae; Streptophyta; Magnoliopsida; Fabales; Fabaceae
Description: long non-coding RNA (TPRA_LNC006107)
Source: RNAcentral